UCUGGCUCUAUGUGUCCCUAUGUCCCUUAGGGCAAGCACUGCAUCCUGGACGUGUCAGCCAACGCGGUGCGGCGGCUGCAGGCGGCUCAGCUGCACCCCAUCGCCAUCUUCAUCCGGCCCAAGAGCCUGCAGAACAUCCUGGAUAUCAGUAAGCGCGUGACAGAGGAGCAGGCGCGGAAAGCUCUGGAACGAGCCACCAAACUGGAACAGGAGUUCACAGAGUGCUUCUCUGGUAUGGAACUACAUAGGGACCCCAUAGGGACCCCAUAGAAACCCCAUAGGGACCCCAUAGGGACCACA
This is a non-coding RNA of Coturnix japonica (Japanese quail), 300 nucleotides long. Lineage: Eukaryota; Metazoa; Chordata; Aves; Galliformes; Phasianidae. The record is from RefSeq and is a predicted model, not a curated record.